This 5377-nucleotide long non-coding RNA is filed under the name Homo sapiens (human). RNAcentral's name for it is "HSALNT0401368". Lineage: Eukaryota; Metazoa; Chordata; Mammalia; Primates; Hominidae. The record is from RNAcentral.
GGAUCUUUCUGUCUCGUGAGAUGGAAAACAAAUCCAAACUGUGUAAGAGGAAAAAGAAUGCACUGAUCACUAGCAUUGAGAAGUUCCCAAGCUUAGCUUGCUUGGGGUACAGCUACGUCUACCAUUUCCAGGGUCAUCCUGUAACUCUCUCUCUCUACUUCCCCAACUUUGGCUCCAUGUUUAGCUCCACGACCCUCAGACUUAAACAGCAGCACUGGCUCCUCCCCAGAUCUCCAGCUCCCUGACCCUCAAACUCCAACUCCAACACCAGCUCUGCCCCAGGUCUCCAGCUCCACAAUCCUCAAACUACAACAGCAGCACCAGCUCCCCUGGGGAUCUCCAGCUCAAUGACUCUCAGACUUGGGAGGCAGCUCCAGCUCCCACCAAGCCUCCAGCUCCACAACCUUCAAACUAGAACAGCAGCACCAGCUACUCCCUGGGUCUCCAGCUCCCUCAAAAUUCAACUAUAGCACUGGCUGUUCCCCAGCGCCACCAGCUCCACAACCCUCAACUUACACGGUGGUAGCACCAGCUCCUCCCUAGGUCUCCAGCUACACGACCGUCAAACUUGAACUGCAACACCAGCUCCUCUUCGGCCUCCAGCUCCACAAUCCUCCAACAACAACAGCAACACCGGCUCCUCCCUGAAUCUCCAGCUCAACAACCCUCAGACUUGAGAGGCAGCACCGGCACCUCCCCAAGGCUCCAGCUCCAUGACCCUCAGAUUUGAACAGCGGUAGCACCAGCUCCUGUCCAGGUCUCCAGCUUCAUGAUCCUUAAACUAGAACAGCAGCACCACCACCUCCCUAGGUUUCCAGCUCCACGACCCUAAGACAUGAAUGGCAGGACCGGGUUCCCCGCUAGGGCUCCAGCUCCAAGACCCACAGAUAUAAACGGCAGCACCGGCUCUUCCUGGGAUCUCCAGCUCCACAGCCUUCAAACACGAUCAGCAGCACCAGCUCCCCUCUGGUUCUCCAGCUCCACAAUCCUCAGACAUGAACAGCAGCACAGGCUCCUCCUUGGGUCUCCAGCUUCUCUACCCUCAGACUAGAACAGCAACACUUGUUCCUCCCUGGGUCUCCAGCUCUUACAAGUCUCAGACUUGAAAGGCAGCACUGGCUCCUCAGAAAGUUUCUGGCUCCAAGCUGGUGCUGCUGUCCUAGUUUGAAGGUCAUGGAGCUGGAGACCCGGGGAGGAACCAUUUGAACAGCAGCACUGGCCCCUCCCCGGGUCUCAGGCUCCACGACCCUCAGACUUAAAAAGCCGUAGUACGGGCUUCUCCCUGGGUCUCCAUCUCUACAACCCUCAGACAUGAACAGCAGCAGCACCGCCCCCUCCCCCUGUCUCCAGUUCCACGAACCUCAAACUACAACAGCAGUACCGGCCUCUCCCCAGGUCUCAGGCUCCACGACCCUCAGACUUAAAAAGCCGUAGUACGGGCUUCUCCCUGGGUCUCCAGCUCUACAACCCUCAGACAUGAACAGCAGCACCGGCUCCUCCCCCUGUCUCCAGUUCCACGAACCUCAAACUACAACAGCAGUACCGGCCUCUCCCCAGGUCUCCAGAUCCAUGACCCUCAAAAUAGAAUGGCAUCAUCAGCUCCUCCCUGGGUCUCCAGCUCCCAAACCCUCAAACUUCAACUAACACAGCAGAUCCUCCCCACAGUUAAACAGCAGCACGGGCUGUUCCCCAAAGCUCCAGAUACACGACCCUCAGUAGCACUGGCUCCUCCCAAGGUCUCCAGUUCCAUGACCCUCAAACUACACAGCAGCACCGGCUCCUCCCCAGGUCUAUAGCUCCACCACCCUCACACUAGACAUCAAGACUACCUCCUUCCCGCUCUCCAGCUACACGACCCUCAAACUUGAACAGCAGCAGCAGCUCCUCCCUAGAUUUCCAGCUCCAUGACCCUAAACCUGCAACAGCAGCACCAGCUCCUCCCUGUACCUCAAGCCCCAUGACCCUCUGACUUGAUCAACAGCAACAGCAGCUCCCUCCCUGGUCUCCAGCUCCACAACCUUCAGCCUUAAACAGCAGCAGCACCAGCUCCUCCCUGGGUCUCCAGCUCCACAACCCUCAGACUAGAACCGCACCCCUCCUCCCUGAGUCUCCAGCUCCAUGACCGUCAAACUACAACAGCAACACAGGUUCCUGUCUGGAUCUCCAGCUCAGCAACUCUCAGAUGAGGCAGCACCGGCAACUCACCAAGGCUCCAGCUCCACAACCCUCAGAUUUGAAUAAUGGUAGCACCAGCUCCUGUCCAGAUCUCCAGCUUCAUGAUCCUUAAACUAGAACAGCAGCACCGCUGCCUCCCUGGGUUUCCAGCUCCACGACCCUAAGACAUGAAUGGCAGAACCGGCUUCCCACAAGGGUUCCAGCUCCAGGACCCACAGAUUUAAAUGGCAGCACUGGCUCUUCCCAGGAUUUCCAGCUCCACUACCCUCAAACUAGAAGAGGAGCACCGGCUCCUCCCUGGGUCUCCAGCUCCCAAACCCUCAGACAUCACCUGACACACUGGAUCCUCCCCACAGUUACAUAGCAGCACGGGCUGUCCCCGAAAACUCGAGAUCCACAACCCUCUGACUUCAAUGGCGGUAGUACUGGUUCCUCCCUAGGUCUCCAGUUCCAUGACCCUCAAACUACACAGCAGCACCAGCUCCUCCCCAGGUCUACAGCUCCACCACCCUCACACUAGACACCAGGACUACCUCCUCCCCGCUCUCCAGCUACACGACCCGCAGAUUUGAACAGCAGCAGCGUCUCCUCCCUGUACCUCAAGCCCCAUAACCCUCAUAUAUGAACAACAGCAAUACCAGCUAAUGCCUAGGGCUCCAGCUCCAGGAUCCACAGAUUUAAACUGCAGCACCAGCUCGUCCAAGGAUCUCCAGCUCCACCACCCUCAGACUAGAACAAGACCUCUACUCCCUGGGUCGCGAGCUUCCGGACCCUCGAACUAUGAAAACAUUGCUCCUCCCUGGGUCCGCAGCUCCACGACCCUCAAACCAGAUCAAGAUCUCUCCUCCCUGUGUCGUCAGCUUCCUGACCCUUGAACUAUGACAACAUUGCUCCUCCCUGGGUCAGCAGCUCCACAACCCUCAAACCAGAUCAAGAUCUCUCCUCCCUGGGUCGCCAGCUUCCUGACCCUCGAACAACAGAAACAUUACUCCUCCCUGGGUCAGCAGCUCCAUGAUCCUCAAACUAGAAUGAGACCUCUCCUCCCUGCGUCGCCAGCUUCUGGACCCUUGAACUAUGAAAAUAUUGCUCCUCCCUGGGUCGGGAGCUCCAUGACCCUCAAACUAGAACAAGACCUCUCCUCCCUAGGUCUGCAGCUUCCAGUCCCUCAAAUAACAACAUUGCUCCUCCCUGGAUCUGCAGCUCCACGACCCUCAGACUAGAACACGAUCUGUCCUCCCUGGGUCACCAGCUUCCGAACCUUCGAACUAAAACAACAUUGCUCCUCCCUGGGUCUGCAGCUCCACGACCCUCAAACUAGAAAAAGACCUCUCCUCACUGUGUCGCCAGCUUCUGGACCCUCGAACUACAAAAACAUUGCUCCUGCCUGGGUCUGCAGCUCCACGACCCUCAAUCCAGAUCAAGAUCUCUCCUCCCUGUGUCAUCAGCUUCCUGACCCUCGAACUAUGACAGCAUUGCUCCUCCCUGGGCGCACCCUCAAACUAGAACAAGACCUCUCCACCCUGCGUCGCCAGUUUCCGGAGCCUCAAACUAAAACAACCUUGCUCCUCCCUGGGUCUGCAGCUCCACAACCCUCAAACUAGAACCAGACCUCUCCUCCCUGUGUUGCCAGCUUCCUGACCCUUGAACUAUGGAAACAUGGCUCCUCCCUAGGUCUGCAGCUCCACGACCCUCAAACUAAAACAAGAUCUCUCCUCCCUGGGUCUGCAGCUCCACGACCCUCAAACUAAAACAAGAUCUCUCCUCCCUGUGUCAUCAGCUUCCAGUCCCUCAAAUAACAACAUUGCUCCUCCCUGGGUCUGCAGCUCCACGACCCUCAAACUAAAACAAGACCUCUCCUCUCUAGGUCUGCAGCUUCCAGUCCCUCAAAUAACAACAUUGCUCCUCCCUGGAUCUGCAGCUCCAUGACUCUCAGACUACAACAAGAUCUCUCCUCCCUGGGUCACCAGCUUCCGGACCCUCGAACUACGAAAACAUUGCUCCUCCCUGGGUCUCCAGCUCCAUGACCCUCAAACUAAAACAAGAUCUCUCCUCCCUGUGUCAUCAGCUUCCAGUCCCUCAAAUAACAACAUUGCUCCUCCCUGGGUCUGCAGCUCCACGACCCUUAAACUAGAACAAGACCUCUCCUCACUGUGUCGCCAGCUUCCGGACCCUUGAACUAUGAAAACAUUGCUCCUCCCUGGGUCCGCAGCUCCACGACCCUCAAACUAAAACAAGAUCUCUCCUCCCUAGGUCUGCAGCUUCCAGUCCCUCAAAUAACAACAUUGCUCCUCCCUGGAUCUGCAGCUCCACGACCCUCAGACUAGAACAAGACCUCUCCUCCCUGAGUCACCAGCUUCCGAACCUUCGAACUAAAACAACAUUGCUCCUCCCUGGGUCCGCAGCUCCAUGACCCUCAAACUAGAACAAGACCUCUCCUCCCUAGGUCUGCAGCUUCCAGUCCCCAAAUAACAACAUUGCUCCUCCCUGGAUCUGCAGCUCCACGACCCUCAGACUAGAACAAGAUCUCUCCUCCCUGGGUCACCAGCUUCCGGACCCUGGAACUACAAAAACAUUGCUCCUCCCUGGGUCUGCAGCUCCACAACCCUCAAACUAAAACAAGAUCUCUCCUCCCUGUGUUGCCAGCUUCCGGACCCUCGAACUAUGACAACAUUGCUCCUCCCUGGGUCUGCAGCUCCACGACCCUCAAAGCAGAUCAAGAUCUCUCCUUCCUGUGUCAUCAGCUUCCUGACCCUUGAACUAUGACAACAUUGCUCCUCCCUGGGUCUGCAGCUCCAUGACUCUCAAACUAGAACAGCAGCACCAGCUCCUUCCUGGACCUCCAGGUCAAUGACUCUCAGACUUCAAAGGCAGCAGCAGCUCCACCCCCAGGCUCCAGCUCUAAAACCCUCAGAUGUGAGCAGUGGCAGCACCAGCUCCUUUCUGCGUCUCCGGCUUCAUGAUCCUUAAAUUAGAACAGCAGCGCCAUCUUCUCCCUGCGUCUCCAGCUCCAGGAACCUCAAACUGCAACAGGAGCACCUGUUCCUCUGGGAUUUUCACCUCCACGACCCUGAGGUGUCAGUGGCAGCACUGGCUCCUCCCCUGGGCUGCAGCUCCAGAACCCUCAAGAAUAAUCCCUUCUCAUGAAAUGUAGCAGUCAGGAAAACUGCAGAGGAAGUAAAUAAAUAAAUGUUUUCUUUCAAAC